AAAUCUAGUGGCUUUGUAAUAACUCACUUUAACUAUUAGGUGUAAUAAUACUUAUAUAUAGAAGUAUCUUUGGAAUAUAACAAGUGGUAGAGUAUUAUGUAAAUAAACACAUCCUAGCUCAACCGAGAAACAAAUGUCGAUAUUGUUAGAUCGGACGUCAUGAUUGGGAUUCGAACUCUGAUGGUCUCACUUGUGUGUGUGAGUUUAUGAUGGCUUUGCUAGUGGGUCCCAUAACUUACACCAUUCAUUCAUUCUUUCACUUCCUCUCCAAAGUCAGAAUAAGAACUUUGAUUCUCCCUACCAUCACUCACGCCCUCCUCUCACCGUCAACCUUUUAACAAUUCAAAUCAACAUAUUUGGUGAUCGAUCUCUUGCAUGCAUCGUAACUCCCAAGAACCUAAGAGAAAUCAGAAGCUAAGGUCAGAGUUUCAACUCAUUUAUAUUCUUUACCUCUUUCCUUUCUCACGCACCAACCCUCAUCAACAACUUAUGACUUUCAAAACCUAUCCGCGUGUUGCAUGUGUUCAAUCCUACUAUGAAAGAACUCCUUGAAACUGAUUAUAAUGUGGCAGGAGAUGAAGCAAUAAGUCAAGGACAUAAUUUGGAGUUUUAAGGAAUUGGGUGCUUGAAGACUUGAAGUUCAUUACCAACAAAUCCUUUUAGCCAGCACCUUUAAGAACAAGGUGUGUUCCUUUAGGUUCUAACUGUUAAUUAAGAAGUCUCACAUCGGUUGCGAGAUGGCCUAAUAAGUGUUUAUAUAUUAUAGACAAUCCUUACCUUACAAGCUGGUUUUGUAAGGAUGAGUUAAGCUCAAUACUCAUUUAUAAGACUAACCUUAGUUAGAAUGGAAUUAGGAAUUAAUUUUUGGAUCUACUGAACAUGCAUAGUAGUAGUAGUAUUCAGAAUAAAUUAAGAAAAUUUUGAUUCUACAUGCAGUGAGCUAAUCCCCAUACCCCAUAUGCUCAUUUUGUGUUAAAAUGUGUUUGUUAGUUGUGUGGUAUAUAUUAGGAGUCAAUGGGCGAUGCAAAACUAUGAUUAGUAACUUGCUUUUUACUUGAAAAACUAAGUGUGUGUUUGGUUCUGCGGCGGAGAGAAUUGAUUUUGGCAGAAUUGAUUCUGUAAAAUUGAUUCUGGCCAAAAUUGAUUUUGGAUAUAUUCAUGAAAAAGUGAGUUGAACAAAAAAUUUGAGUGUAAAAAUCAAUUCUAGAAUCAGAAGCUACGAUUUCUAGCUUCAAGUAGAAUCAAUUCUGGAGGCAGAAUCAAUUCUACUCUUGAGAAACCAAACAAGUCAGAAUCAAUUCUACACGUCCAGAAUCAAUUCUGGAUGCUCCAGAAUUGAAACCAAA
RNAcentral lists this long non-coding RNA (1346 nucleotides) under Trifolium pratense (red clover). RNAcentral describes it as "long non-coding RNA (TPRA_LNC005977)". The record is from RNAcentral. Lineage: Eukaryota; Viridiplantae; Streptophyta; Magnoliopsida; Fabales; Fabaceae.